GACGAACGCUGGCGGCGUGCUUAACACAUGCAAGUCGAACGGAAAGGCCUCUUUCGGGGGGUACUCGAGUGGCGAACGGGUGAGUAACACGUGAGUAACCUGCCCUUGACUUUGGGAUAACUUCAGGAAACUGGGGCUAAUACCGGAUAGGAGCUCCUGCUGCAUGGUGGGGGUUGGAAAGUUUCGGCGGUUGGGGAUGGACUCGCGGCUUAUCAGCUUGUUGGUGGGGUAGUGGCUUACCAAGGCUUUGACGGGUAGCCGGCCUGAGAGGGUGACCGGCCACAUUGGGACUGAGAUACGGCCCAGACUCCUACGGGAGGCAGCAGUGGGGAAUAUUGCACAAUGGGUGGAAGCCUGAUGCAGCAACGCCGUGUGCGGGAUGACGGCUUUCGGGUUGUAAACCGCUUUCGCUCAUGACGAAGCUUUGUGUGACGGUAGUGGGUAAAGAAGCACCGGCUAACUACGUG
This 467-nucleotide ribosomal RNA is filed under the name uncultured bacterium. RNAcentral's name for it is "partial 16S ribosomal RNA". It matches the Rfam family "Bacterial small subunit ribosomal RNA", at positions 28 to 507 of the family's 1533-position model. The record is from RNAcentral.